Molecule: ribosomal RNA, 502 nt
Filed under: Veillonella parvula
Lineage: Bacteria; Bacillati; Bacillota; Negativicutes; Veillonellales; Veillonellaceae
Description: bacterial SSU rRNA
Rfam family: Bacterial small subunit ribosomal RNA
Source: RNAcentral
GACGAACGCUGCGGCGUGCUUAACACAUGCAAGUCGAACGAAGAGCGAUGGAAGCUUGCUUCUAUCAAUCUUAGUGGCGAACGGGUGAGUAACGCGUAAUCAACCUGCCCUUCAGAGGGGGACAACAGUUGGAAACGACUGCUAAUACCGCAUACGAUCUAACCUCGGCAUCGAGGAUAGAUGAAAGGUGGCCUCUACAUGUAAGCUAUCACUGAAGGAGGGGAUUGCGUCUGAUUAGCUAGUUGGAGGGGUAACGGCCCACCAAGGCGAUGAUCAGUAGCCGGUCUGAGAGGAUGAACGGCCACAUUGGGACUGAGACACGGCCCAGACUCCUACGGGAGGCAGCAGUGGGGAAUCUUCCGCAAUGGACGAAAGUCUGACGGAGCAACGCCGCGUGAGUGAUGACGGCCUUCGGGUUGUAAAGCUCUGUUAAUCGGGACGAAAGGCCUUCUUGCGAAUAGUUAGAAGGAUUGACGGUACCGGAAUAGAAAGCCACGGCUAA